CCUACGGGGGGCAGCAGUCGAGAAUCAUUCACAAUGGGGGAAACCCUGGUGGUGCGACGCCGCGUGGGGGAAUGAAGGUCUUCGGAUUGUAAACCCCUGUCAUGUGGGAGCAAAUUAAAAAGAUAGUACCACAAGAGGAAGAGACGGCUAACUCUGUGCCAGCAGCCGCGGUAAUACAGAGGUCUCAAGCGUUGUUCUGAAUAACUGGGCGUAAAGCGUGCGUAGGCUGUUUCGUAAGUCGUGUGUGAAAGGCGCGGGCUCAACCCGCGGACGGCACAUGAUACUGCGAGACUAGAGUAAUGGAGGGGGAACCGGAAUUCUCGGUGUAGCAGUGAAAUGCGUAGAUAUCGAGAGGAACACUCGUGGCGAAGGCGGGUUCCUGGACAUUAACUGACGCUGAGGCACGAAGGCCAGGGGAGCGAAAGGGAUUAGAUACCCUUGUAGUC
RNAcentral lists this ribosomal RNA (446 nucleotides) under uncultured bacterium. RNAcentral's name for it is "partial 16S ribosomal RNA". It matches the Rfam family "Bacterial small subunit ribosomal RNA", at positions 338 to 795 of the family's 1533-position model. The record is from RNAcentral.